AUUGAACGCUGGCGGCAUGCUUUACACAUGCAAGUCGAACGGUAACAGGUUAAGCUGACGAGUGGCGAACGGGUGAGUAAUGCAUCGGAACGUGCCCGGUCGUGGGGGAUAACGCAGCGAAAGCUGCGCUAAUACCGCAUACGAUCUGAGGAUGAAAGCGGGGGACCGUAAGGCCUCGCGCGAUCGGAGCGGCCGAUGUCAGAUUAGGUAGUUGGUGGGGUAAAGGCUCACCAAGCCAACGAUCUGUAGCUGGUCUGAGAGGACGACCAGCCACACGGGGACUGAGACACGGCCCAGACUCCUACGGGAGGCAGCAGUGGGGAAUUUUGGACAAUGGGCGAAAGCCUGAUCCAGUAAUGCCGCGUGCAGGAAGAAGGCCUUCGGGUUGUAAACUGCUUUUGUACGGAGCGAAAAGGUCUCCUCUAAUACAGGGGGCUCAUGACGGUACCGUAAGAAUAAGCACCGGCUAACUACGUGCCAGCCGCCGCGGUAA
This 493-nucleotide ribosomal RNA is filed under the name uncultured bacterium. RNAcentral's name for it is "partial 16S ribosomal RNA". It matches the Rfam family "Bacterial small subunit ribosomal RNA", at positions 29 to 523 of the family's 1533-position model. The record is from RNAcentral.